RNAcentral lists this ribosomal RNA (287 nucleotides) under Clostridioides difficile. RNAcentral describes it as "partial 23S ribosomal RNA". It matches the Rfam family "Bacterial large subunit ribosomal RNA", at positions 1875 to 2161 of the family's 2925-position model. The record is from RNAcentral. Lineage: Bacteria; Bacillati; Bacillota; Clostridia; Peptostreptococcales; Peptostreptococcaceae.
GGUUAAGGGGAUCUGUUAGAGCAAUCGAAGCAGUGAACUUAAGCCCCAGUAAACGGCGGCCGUAACUAUAACGGUCCUAAGGUAGCGAAAUUCCUUGUCGGGUAAGUUCCGACCCGCACGAAAGGCGUAACGAUUUGGGCACUGUCUCAACAACAGACUCGGUGAAAGUGUAAUUCCGGUGAAGAUGCCGGAUACCUGCGACAGGACGGAAAGACCCCAUGGAGCUUUACUGUAGCUUGACAUUGGGUCUUGGUACUACAUGUACAGGAUAGGUGGGAGGCUUUGAA